RNAcentral lists this transfer RNA (76 nucleotides) under Bacillota bacterium. RNAcentral's name for it is "tRNA-Arg". It matches the Rfam family "tRNA". From Rfam's summary of the family: Transfer RNA (tRNA) molecules are approximately 80 nucleotides in length. Their secondary structure includes four short double-helical elements and three loops (D, anti-codon, and T loops). Lineage: Bacteria; Bacillati; Bacillota. The record is from RNAcentral.
GCGCCUGUAGCUCAGGGGACAGAGCACCGGAUUCCUAAUCCGGGUGUCGCAGGUUCGAUUCCUGCCAGGCGUACCA